This 390-nucleotide small RNA is filed under the name Pan troglodytes (chimpanzee). Its description in RNAcentral is "retained intron". Lineage: Eukaryota; Metazoa; Chordata; Mammalia; Primates; Hominidae. The record is from RNAcentral.
GCCAUCGAUGACAAGUACAGCCGGAGGGAGGAAUACCGAGGCUUCACACAGGACUUCAAGGAGAAGGACGGCUACAAACCCGACGUUAAGAUCGAAUACGUGGAUGAGACGGGCCGGAAACUCACACCCAAGGAGGCUUUCCGGCAGCUGUCGCACCGCUUCCAUGGCAAGGGCUCAGGCAAGAUGAAGACAGAGCGGCGGAUGAAGAAGCUGGACGAGGAGGCGCUCCUGAAGAAGAUGAGCUCCAGCGACACGCCCCUGGGCACCGUGGCCCUGCUCCAGGAGAAGCAGAAGGCUCAGAAGACCCCCUACAUCGUGCUCAGCGGCAGCGGCAAGAGCAUGAACGCGUGAGUGGCUCGAGGCUGAUGGGGUAGGGUGUGGUGGGGAGGG